GACGAACGCUGGCGGCGUGCUUAACACAUGCAAGUCGAACGGAAAGGCCCUGCUUUUGUGGGGUGCUCGAGUGGCGAAAGGGUGAGUAACACGUGAGUAACCUGCCCUUGACUUUGGGAUAACUUCAGGAAACUGGGGCUAAUACCGGAUAGGAGCUCCUGCUGCAUGGUGGGGGUUGGAAAGUUUCGGCGGUUGGGGAUGGACUCGCGGCUUAUCAGCUUGUUGGUGGGGUAGUGGCUUACCAAGGCUUUGACGGGUAGCCGGCCUGAGAGGGUGACCGGCCACAUUGGGCCUGAGAUACGGCCCAGACUCCUACGGGAGGCAGCAGUGGGGAAUAUUGCACAAUGGGCGGAAGCCUGAUGCAGCAACUCCGCGUGCGGGAUGACGGCCUUCGGGUUGUAAACCGCUUUCGCCUGUGACGAAGCGUGAUUGACGGUAAUGGGUAAAGAAGCACCGGCUAACUACGUG
RNAcentral lists this ribosomal RNA (468 nucleotides) under uncultured bacterium. Its description in RNAcentral is "partial 16S ribosomal RNA". It matches the Rfam family "Bacterial small subunit ribosomal RNA", at positions 28 to 507 of the family's 1533-position model. The record is from RNAcentral.